CCAUCAACAUCGUGUAAUUGNUGCCGCUNUUGAAACCUUAAUCGCACCACCAUGGUCACGCCGUCACCACCAUUGCGAAACCAGUACCACCACAGAAACAUCAGUCUUGCAUCGCCACUGAGCCACCUUCUUCCACGACCACCAUCAUCGGACCUGCAAUCAGAAAAANAGCAAGAACCCCAAAACUGGCCAUCACAAGCGUCUCAACCANCCACC
RNAcentral lists this long non-coding RNA (216 nucleotides) under Vigna radiata. RNAcentral describes it as "long non-coding RNA (VRAD_LNC003424)". The record is from RNAcentral. Lineage: Eukaryota; Viridiplantae; Streptophyta; Magnoliopsida; Fabales; Fabaceae.